GAAGGUAUAGCUCAGUGGUAGAGUGCAUGCCUAGCACGGCAUGAGGUCCUAGGUUCAAUCCCCAGUACCUCUA
Molecule: transfer RNA, 73 nt
Filed under: Camelus bactrianus (Bactrian camel)
Lineage: Eukaryota; Metazoa; Chordata; Mammalia; Artiodactyla; Camelidae
Also listed under: 2 other names
Rfam family: tRNA
About the family: Transfer RNA (tRNA) molecules are approximately 80 nucleotides in length.
Source: Rfam by way of RNAcentral